This 9951-nucleotide long non-coding RNA is filed under the name Vitis vinifera (wine grape). Its description in RNAcentral is "long non-coding RNA (VVIN_LNC006457)". Lineage: Eukaryota; Viridiplantae; Streptophyta; Magnoliopsida; Vitales; Vitaceae. The record is from RNAcentral.
CAAAAUGGGUCCAAAUUUUAUAAACAAAAUUUCAUAGAUAAUGACACAAUCAUGUGGCAUUAAAGAAUCUACCAAGAACACCCAUGUGGCAAUUGGGCACCAUGACAGCACCAAUCACAAAAUCCUACUGCAGCCAGAGGCUUCAAGUGACAAGUUGGCUCAGUUUCUGGAUUCACACUCCCACAGCAUGACCUCAUUGUUGCAUCAUUAACAAACUUCCAUUUUUCUCCACUUUCUUUUCUCAAUAGGGUAACCCUACACAGCAGUGACUUUAUACGACUGUCCAUUUGGAGUUAUUUUAAAGCUUCCGUGGAUCUACAUGAUGGUAUUGAGGAGGAGAAGAUAGGAUGGACCUACUCUUUGUAUUCCCUUUCUUCGCUUGUCAUGAUUGAUGUUCAAGCCCCAUAUCAAUAUUUUCCUGUCCAUACAUGUAUCUUUUUUAAGACUAAAGUUCCUCAAAUGGGCUUUGAUCCAAAGCAAAAAUAUAGAAUGAUAUGAUAUACUAAUAAGAAUAUUCUCGUAUUUGCCUAUAAAAAAUUAAAAUGAUGGGAAAUAGUAAUUGAAAAUAAGCAAUAUUCUAAUAUUAUCAACAUGCUUAAACAUAUAAAUAUAUAUACAUACUAGAAUUACUUCAUUUUUUGUUAGGUAGAAGACUAGACAGGUCGAAAAAAAUGAUAAAGAGUGUUUUAAUAAUCAGAUUUAAGUAAUAUUUAUCUUUUUACCUAAAAUAUAAAUGUAAUAAAGAAGUUCUUGAUAUAAAAUAUAUCGUGAAUUUUUCAUAAUUAUAUAGGCUUAUUUUAAAAUCAAAAAAUUCCAUUAAAUUAGAGUAAAUGAUAUCUAUACAUGAGACUUCGUAAAUGAUAUUUACCUAUUUGACCUUGUAAUUUAGUAGUCUUGUAAUCCUAUGAAUCUUGACAAAAAUAUCAUCAUUAGAAGAAAAAGUUUUUGACAUUGGAUAUAUGAAAAGUUAUCUAACCUCACAAUCUCAUUAAACACAUUAUAAUAUUCAAACCUCAAAUUUCAAUCGUAAUCCUACUAAAAUCAUGCGAGGUUACACUUUAUUUGUUUUCUUUGGUGGGUGAGAAUUAAAUCAAGUUUGAGGAAUUUUUUUUUCUCAUAAUAUUAUAUUUUCAUAAUAUCACAGGCUUGCAAAUGAAUCAAUUCUUUUCUUCUUGAAGGAAUGCGCACUAAGGUGGAGAAGUUCAACAAGUAAUUUCAGCCUCCAACAUAAUCCAAACAAAAGCAAGAGAGAAAGGUCAUUUGUGCUUGGAUCAUGCAGGGCCGAUAAUGGAAAUAUGAAGCUUCAAAAUUACUAAAUAUUAGUUGUUGUCACUUAUUUUUCCAUUUGAGGGUAAACAGCUGAUCUAGAUUCUAAUCUCUUCAUAAAAAAGCCAGUGUUAUUACUUUCCACCCAUUGGAUUUUUUGGUCAUCAUUUUCAUGAUCAGUCAUGGCCCUUUGAUUCUUGCCAAUCCAAAUUCAGUAGGGGAUGGUAAAAUAUUCAAUAUUCUAAAGCCAAGAAUUAAAAAAUUAUUACUUUGUACUCCUGGUCAUCAUCUCAAACCCAUGAAAUUCAUACAAACUGUUUUGAGUUUUGGCCCAAUGCCAUCUGUUUGCCAUAACUAACAAGCCCAGAUUUGGGCCUGUUGGUUAAGACCAAAUAAAAUUUUCAGUUCAUUUCCACUGGGCUUAAAAGCCCUUUUCAUCCAAAAAGAUGAUAAUAAUCUAUAUUGAUCAUUUUACCUAAUGCUUAAUGACACUUCAUGGAGGUCACCAGCCCAAUCAUAGAAAUAUUUGAUUGACUUUCCUAUAGAUGGUAAAAUCAACAGUAGUUUUAGAAAGUACUUUUAGCAUAAAAAAUGUUUUUGAAGAAAAAUCAAGAAAUGUACAAAAUUUUAAAAAUCACUUAUAGUAUGUAUGUAUCUAGGGGUGGGGCUAUAUAUGUAGAAAGGGAUCCGUCUCUAUCCAUCUGGAUAUUCACAUAGGUUACCAAGUCCAUCAAUUAAGAUAGUGUAUAAAUAACAAUAAAGUAAGAGCAAGUCAACAAGUUCAAACAUGAAGAGUUAGUUGAUGGGCUAGCUACAUUUCUUGUGAGUCGACCCACAUAUGGGUAGACAACGAAGGUAAGAUCAACGCAAGGGUCACAUAUGUACAUCAAUCGCAUGUGUAUGGUACUGUUAGCAAGUGGGGGUAGCAAUGUUAUUUCUAGUCUUACUUCAUGGAAAAGUAGUUGAGAGAUAAUUUUUUGAAAAACACUUUCAUUAAAAAAAAUUUCUAAUAAAAAUAUUGUCAAACAUACUCUAAAUUUUAGUUGCAGUAGAUAUUAUGAUUGUCACUCCUUUUCUAGGGUUAAGACAUGAUCCGACAUGAUUGGAGUUCAUGUAAUCAAAUUUCCAUAUAUUGAGAGGAAGAGAGGAAGAGAUUUUACAUGAGAUGAUAGACAAAGAAGCGAGCAGUUGAGCAGUCUAGAAGAUGUCACUUGAAGGCCGAAAGCUGCAAGUUACUAGAUUUAAGAAGGAAGACAAGAAUAACAAAUUGUUUCAUCAAAUGGCUAGGGGAGGGGAGGAGAAUGAACUUUACUAAGAAUCUAAUGGUUUGGGUGUAGAAAUAUGACAAGUAUGGGCAAACCUUCUCAAUGAAACCAUGAAGAAAGGAUUCAAUAAAAGUUUGAACAAUAAGCUACACAGCAUGACCUCAUUUUUCUUUUGUCGGGGAACCCUAAAUGACUUUAGGACUGCCAGUGGAGUUAUUUUAAAGCCUCCAUGAAUCUACAUGAUGGUAUAGAGAGGAGGAAGAAGAUAGGGUGGACCCACUCUUUACAUUCCCUUUCUUCUUCUGUCAUGACUGAUGUUCAAGCUACAUAUCAAUAUUUUGUUCAUACAUGUUCUUUUUUUUUUUUUCUGUUGAAAAGAAAAAAACUUAAGUCUUUCAAUGGGUUUUGAUUCAAAGAAAAAUGUAUAAGGUUAUCAUUAAUUAGAAUAUUCUUCUAUUAGCCUAUCAAAAAAUUAAUAUGAUGUGACAUAUAAAUUAAAAAAUUAAACAAUGUUCUAAAAUUAUGCCUUCUGAAUCAUUUCAUUUUCUAUUACAUACAAGACAAAGCAACUUGGGGAUAUGGUGGGCAACACUUAGUACUUAAAUUUGGGUGACAUUUGUUUUGUUUUUGGAAGUGUUAAUAUGACUAAAUUUCUCUGAACUUCCUCUUAAUUUGGAAUAAAAAUUAAUAUUAUAUCAUUCCAACUUCAUAUUUCAAAUGAGAAUAUAUUUUUUUUUAAAUAUUUUUUAUAUACUUACAUUCCAACAUAACAAGAUUUAGAAAGUGUUGGCUAAAUCCAUUUAACAAUUUAAUGUAAUUUAAUAAUUUAAUUUAAAUCAUUAAAGAGACUUACUACCACAAUUUAAAGUUAAAAAUAAUUUUAAAUAUUAAGCUUAAGUGGAUGUUUGAUAGAACUUAAUAAUUUAAGUUGAUUUUAUAUUAAAUUAUUUUUGAGUUAUUGACUUAAUUUUUUUUUUUUUUUCAGUAUUGAGGUUAUGUGGUAAAAUUAAAUUAAUAUUUAUUCUAAAUCAUUAGAUAUGGGUAAAAUAGGUAAAAAAGAAAAAAGACUUGACGUUAAGAAUAAGUUAACUGUUUUAAUUUAAUACUUUAAGUUAUUUUUUAUUUUAAGUUAUGAUAUUAAGUUGUUUUAUCAAAUAUAUUUAAUUUACUUAAUAACUUAUUUAUUAAGUUAUAUUGAAUCAUUAAGUUGAUUUUCCAAACAUAUUAAAUAGUAAACUUAUUGAUAAUAUUAAUUUUUUUUUGUCUUAUUUGCCCACAUAUAAUUAAAGUAUAUUUUACAAUUAUGACUUCACAUUCAUAAUUCAUUUUUUAUAAUAAAUAUUUUGCAAUAUAUAUCUCCUAUACUUCAAAUAUGAAUAUUUAACAAAUAAAUUUAUUCUUUAAGGUUAGUAAAAAUAAAUAUUAGUUAAAAUUAAUAAUGAUAAAUAUUUGUUAAAACGAACAAGGGUAAAAAUGUUAAUUUGGUGAUUUAGAAUAAAUUUCAAGUUAACUUUAUUGAAUAACCUUAAUACUUAACGUAAAAACCAAAUAAUAAGUUAUCACUUAACAAACUAAGAAUAAUUUAACAACAAAUUAACUUAAAUCAUUAAAUAAUAAAUAUUAAAUUUUACCAAACAACCGCUUAAUGUAUCAGAAACAUUUAGACCCCAUUAAAAUUUCAAACAAAACACAUUAGAGAGUUGGGACCUGUUUGGUUGUUGUUUUUGAAAACUGUUUUGGAAAACAGUUUUUGGCGUUUUUAGAAAAAAAAAAAAAAUUAUGUUUGGGAACUAAAUUUUGGAAAAAAAGUUUUUUUUCUUAAAAAAAAAAAAAAAACAUGUUUAGUUGAGUUGAUAAAAAAGUUUUUUAGAACAAGUAAAACAAAAAAUAUGUUUUUUUUUCCAAUUAAUAAAGUGUUUUCUUCAAGUAAAUUUAUAUUAUAAAUUUAUAAAUAAUUUUUAUAUACACAAUUCAUUUAAAUUAAAAAAAAAUUACUUUAUUUUAAAAUUUUAAAAAUAGAUUUGAUAUUAAUUAGAUUUUAAAUACUUUUUUUUAGUUUUUAUAAAAUUUGAAACAAAAAUUGGGGAAAAAUGAAAGAAAAGUAAAUAAAAAUGAUAAUAGUUUGAUUAAUUUUAAAAUAAAAAUAUUUUUUUAUAUUUUAAAAAAAUAAAUCAUGAUAAAAUCAUUUUUAUUAACGUUUUUUUUUCUUAAUUUAAUCUUUAAUUUUAUUAAAAAUUAUAGUAUAUUCAAUUAAGAUGAGAUAAAAAGUUUUAAAAAGAAUUAAUUAAAUUUUUAAUUUACAACUAAUUUUCACCUAACAAGCUUGUAAAUAAAAUAAAUAGGACAUGAAAAUAAAUGAAAGUAAGGUGAAGUUUGAAGAUGGUCACUUUCCAAGGGAUUCCAUGGUCCAAGAUGGUGGUGUAUUUGUGUUGACCAAUAUAUUUUACCAACCAAUAUGCUUUAACCAAUUGAUUUUCACUUUAUAUAUAAUUUUUUUUUUUACUAACCAUUUUAUCCAUACAAAUGACUCUCAUAUCAUUUUUUUUUUACCAACCAUUUUAUCCAUACAAAUGACUCUCAUAUCCCUUAAAAAUGUCUCUCACCGUUCCAAUCUUGAGAAAAGUCUUUAUCCAAUAUUACUACCUUAUUUACAUAUUGCUAUUGUCACACUCUGCCGUCUUUCAUCUUCUUCAAAACUGAGACAAAAAUCACCUACAAAACCCUCUCAAUAAGCAACUCGAUUUUCUCUAUCUUUCAUGUCCUUAAGCAGGUUUUUUGUUUUUCUUGAACAAAACAACUUAAGAAAAAUCAAAACUAAGAAAUGGGAAAAAUCAGGAAUUUUUUUCGUUUUUGUUUUCUUUCUUGUUCCCCACUUUUCUCAGCAUCCAAACGGGAAAAAUAAAAAAACUAAUAACACAUGAUAAAAAAAACUCAAAUCUCAUUCGAAUAACAAAACUGAGAAACGGGAAGAAAAAAAACACGGAGAAUAGUUGUUCUCUUAUGGUUUUUUUUUCUUGUAAAUAGUAAAAAAGCGGAGAAAACAACAUUUUUUUGUUCUCUAAAAAGUGUCAUUUUGAGAACACGGAGAACAAGAAAAACAAAAACAACUUUCUCAACCAAACAAGUUUUUACUGUUUUUUGUUUUCAAGAAUAUAAAACAAUUCUUGAGAACACCAACCAAACAGACCUUUAGAUGUUGUUUGUUUUUUUAACUUUUUGCUAAAAGCAACUUAUUUUUAUAUUUCAAAUUGUUAAUUUUUAUACUUUUUGUUAAUUUAUUAUUUAUUUAUUUAUUUUUACUAACUAGAUAAAUUCAAAAUAUUUAGCUUUUUAAAAUGUUAAAAGUAAUAUUGUGGACCCCGCAUUUCGAUGGCUCGAAUGCGUUUCCCACUCGAUGACGAGCUCGAUUUAUUAUUUAAAAAAAAUGAUUUUUAUUGAUUAUUUGAAAAUGACUUGGAGUCGCCACUUAUUUUUGUUUUAUUUUUAAAGGGUAAACAAAAUAAGAAAGAAAAAACCCUAAGUGUGACUCCUUAUUUUGGAAAAGGUGAUCUGCGAAAAACCGGAUCGGGUUCGGGGGUCAGAUUACUUAUCGGGAAGGUACGGUAAAGACCGUAGCACCCCUCUAAGUCCCUAAAAACGGGUCUCUACUAAUAAAAUGAAGCUGACAUGGUAAUCAAUGAGAAAAUCAAUGAAUACUCGAAUCAAUCAUGCACAUAUGAGUAUCAAAACAUGCAUAUAGCAAGACCAGAAUAAGAACAGAUGCGUACCUGGGCAACGAUCUUCAAUGCGCUAUCAAGAAGUGAGAUUAGUGCACAAUUAAGGAAUAGUCACAUGCAUAUCAUAGAGCAGAAUAAAUCAUAUAUGAAUAGCAAUCAAAUCAACCAAUCAAUCGAUCAAUCAUAAAUCACAUAUGUGGGGCCCCACCAAAGCCCGUUUAUUUUUGCAUGAAUUAAUUCCACAAAUUCCAUUAUUCGGAACUACGGAAUUUAAAUUCAUGUUUAUUUUAAAACGUUUUAAAAUGAUGAAAAAAAAUUCGAAAGUGGCUCGCCGAAAAGAAAAUGGCGGCCAAAUUUUAUUGAAAAUGAGUCUUGUGGAACCUAAAGACUCUAAGGAUGAAAAUUUUGAUGACUUGAAAUCAUUUAAAAAAAAACGAAAAUUGGAAAAUCAUUUGAAAACAGGGUUAGGAAAUCUUUAUUUCGAAAUCACAAGGAAGGGAUUUGAAAGGAAGUGACAUGCAGCAUAAGGAUGGUGGCCAUGCAGAGAAGAUCCCAUUUUUGGCCCACUUUGAAGGAGUGUUCUUUCUCUUAUUUCCUUUCUUAGUACAGCGAGCCUGAUUUGAGAAAAACUGAGUCAACUUCCAGAUUUAGGGUUUGAUAUAUUCUGGGUUCGACAAAAGAUCUUCCCUCUGCAUCUCAAUCUCUCUUUCCUGGCUCAAAAUCUCCUUGGGAACAUCUUCCGUAACAAGAGAUUGCACUUAAAGACAGGCAACAGCUUGCAUGGCCAGGUCAUCAAUUAGCUUCAUUUCCUGUCUCUCAAUUCGCAGCUUCAGCAACUUUCAAGUGUAGAGUCUCCUUUUCAGCCUCACCCUGGUUUCCUGAGCUCCAUUGCUUCUUGCAUCACUUGCAAAAUAUUCAAUAACCUGACUGAUGAGCUUUAUGAGUUCAAGAUUUUCCAGAUUUGCAAGUUACCGUGAUGACUGUGCAAACGUGAAAUCCCCACCCAAUACUGCCAUUUUAUAACGCACAGGGAAUUUUCCUUGCAUAUGGGCUGUUGGCGGCUUGGACUUAUCACCUGGGUCUCUCCAUAGUCUCAAACCCAAAUCAGUGAGAACAGCCCAGACUUUCAUUGGGCUUACUUUUUGAUGCUCAUGACUGAAUAUAUAAAAAAAAUGGAGGUUCGGCUCUCUAAGUCACUUCAACACCUUGAAGACCUUUGCAUGAAUGACUUAUUCUUUCUCCAGUAGGGAUACCGAGAACAAACCUGAACCCUGACAUCAUCUCUUUGGGUCUUGGAACUUCUUCUGGGAAACCAUCAAGACAAGGGAUGACAGUGACAUAUUUGUUGGACGAGGUGGUUGAUGAAGCAAUGUGAAGUGUACAAUGGAGAAGCUAGUAUGAGGGGCGUGAAAAAUGGGUACGGGUAUGAGAGUUAGGUGUUGUGUUGAUGAGUUUGGAAGGAUGAGAAUAUAGGAAUAAUGGUGAGGGAUCGUAUGCAUGAGAUGCAUGCAUGCGAGAGGAUUGUGGAAUAGGUGAAGGGGAAAUUAAUGGAUGAAGAUGAAUGAUGAGAGAAUGAGAUAGAAGAUGGGUAUGAUGGACAUGAAGGUGAUAGUGAGAGGGAAAACAGGUUUGGGGGUGUUAGGAAAUAGAAGUAUGGGUACGGAGAUGUGGAGCCAUGCAUGACUGAACGGGUUGCCUAUUCCCAGUUUUUCUUUUCCACAGAUUUACAGCAUUUCCUUGAGUAAGUUUCCUCUGUAACAUCCCAUGACCUUUUCCCAUUCAUUAUAAAGCAUGCGCGGGACCCAUCGAGAGAAACACCCAUUCAUCAUUGUUGUUUCAUUAUGGUCCCUCACUGUAUGUAACUAGAACCUUCUGUAGCUAUUAUGGAAUUAUCACCACUAUUACAAGAGGAUGAAACCCAAGCAACGUCACCUGAGGAGUGCUCUACACUUUCUGUAAUCACUUCAAUAAGAUUUCAGUCAACAGUCAACUUGUUCAAGGUCAAUGUUCCUGUCUUGUCAUUGCAGAGAGCAUCCAUGCAUGCCAUUUCCUCAAUGGCCAUCAUUCUUUUAGUGAUUGUAUCCUGCUAAAAGACUUUCUUCGAGCACAAGAGUUCUCAUCACAAAAACGCCCAAAAAGGAUAUUGGGGCACUAAUGGGGUAUGUACCCACCACGACCUGGGUUUGGCAUAAGGUCCAGUAUAACUGCCUCCUCUGUAUCAUGCCCAGAAACUGAGAGAUUCCCAAGGCGAUGAACUCUUCAAGCUUGACUUUGAGGAUUCGAAUUUGAAAAUACAUCUAGAGGGGGUGGCACAACAAUCUCCCAUGGGGUAGCAUGUAGUUUCAAUGCGUAUGAAGUUUGAAUCAUGACGAAGAUCACAGUCUUCCAAGAAGGACUUCCUGAUUCGAUUUCCUGAAUUACAACCCAUUUUGGUGAUCACCCUGCUCAACUCCAGCAGUAUAGAUGCAUGAACCAUCAGCAGUCAAGAGGCAAUACUAAUGCCCAGGUAUGGCAGUCACCAAUUCUGAGUAGAAUAAUUCAACAACUCCCUGAGCAAUGAGUCAAUAAUGACCCAAACUCAGAAUAAAUGUCCACAUGAAGAACAGGUACUGCUUCAUGCAAUUCAGAUUUGACCUUUUGGACCACAUGGUGAAGGUCAUCUGUCUUUUUCCAGUCCAUUGUGCAGCACAAUCUCCUUAAGAGCCUCACUGUCAUUGGUGUGGUGAUUACAUUCCAGAUUCAGCAGAAAGGGUGCAUCUAUAGACACAGUAAAGGCAUCGGCCAAAGCAUUCACAAUAUACGCAUUCUCACGAGGAUUUAGCUCAAGUUUCUUUCCUCUGUACGUCCAAUGUGAUCUACAUAGCUUUUCAGGCACUCAGAAAUACUCAACUGUAUGGAAAGUGACCCUCAUGAGGCUCUCUCAGAGACACCCCACCUCCAAACCAUGAUAGCCAAUCCCAAAUGAGAUAUUUAACACCACAACCACAGCAAAAUCAAAGGAAUGAAAACAAAGGCAGAGACCAGAGUGAAAAUUGAGAGAAUGAUGGACUGGGAAUCAGGUAAAGCAUGAAUGUAUAAAGCCUCAUUUCAGGUGACAUCCAUGGGCUCAUACAGGUGAGGAGAUCUUAAGCUAGACUUACAGAGUGUAUGAAAAACAGAGUCCCACUAGCUCCAAACCAAACCACAAGAAAUGACAGUAAGAUCAACAGCAACAGAGCAUAAGAAAGGAUCCAAAAACCAAUAAAUUCAGCAUGUAAUCCAUAUUAUCCAACUCAAAUUGGCGAGCAAUGUAGAGUAAAUCAAAAUGGGAAAGAGAUGAGAAAUAUAUGAAUCAAAGUAAGCAAGAAACUCACCUCAAACUUACCUGCAGCUACUCUCUUCCUCUGUUAUCUCCUUUUUUAAGCUCUUGCUCUCUGUCUUGCUUCUCAAGGUACUCCCAAAAAGCUCCUCUCAGCAACCAGAAAACACAUUACCCUCUCGCAUUACCUCACUCUCUCUCCCUCUCUCAAAAUAUCUCUCUCCAAAGUGUCUCUCUAUAGUGUUUUCCUCUCUCAGAGCUUCCUCAUCCUCCUUUUUGACCUCUCUCUCUGCUAACCCAGAAACUCACCUCUCUGCUCCCACUCAAACUUCCCUGUUUUUCCUCUCCAGCUAUUCUCUGUUCUCUCUCUGCUUUCUCUCUAUGAUCGACAGCCUCCCAAGAAAAU